UAAUACGUAGGUGGCGAGCGUUGUCCGGAUUUACUGGGCGUAAAGCGCGCGUAGGCGGCUUGUUAAGUCUGGGGUGAAAUCUCCCGGCUCAACCGGGAGGGGUCCUCGGAUACUGGCAGGCUGGAGGGGAGCAGAGGAGAGCGGAAUUCCCCGGUGUAGUGGUGAAAUGCGUAGAUAUCGGGAGGAACACCAGUGGCGAAGGCGGCUCUCUGGGCUCUACCUGACGCUGAGGCGCGAAAGCGUGGGGAGCGAAACCGGAUUAGAUACCCGGGUAGUCCACGCUGUAAACGAUGGACACUAGGUGUGGGAGGUAUCGACCCCUUCCGUGCCGAAGCUAACGCCAUAAGUGUCCCGCCUGGGGAGUACGGCCGCAAGGCUAAAACUCAAAGGAAUUGACGGGGCC
RNAcentral lists this ribosomal RNA (403 nucleotides) under uncultured Sphaerobacter sp. Its description in RNAcentral is "bacterial SSU rRNA". It matches the Rfam family "Bacterial small subunit ribosomal RNA", at positions 521 to 920 of the family's 1533-position model. The record is from RNAcentral. Lineage: Bacteria; Pseudomonadati; Thermomicrobiota; Thermomicrobia; Sphaerobacterales; Sphaerobacteraceae.